UACUAAAAAUUUUAUCUUUCUAUCAGUAGGUCUUCUAUUACACAUUGUGGUAAGUUUUUCAAUAUUUUUAUACAAACAGUAUUCUUGUUAUCUGAAUAUGUUCAAUAAAAUAAAAAGGGUAUUACAGUGAAUAAUGGCUAAACCGAACCCUGUAUAAAUCGAAAACCUGAAAAAAACCAUGUUUUAAACACCAACGGUGUGUGUUUCUGAAUCUGAUAAAACAGAACAUCGGCCAAAACCGAACGAAUUCUUAAGUUCAGAAGAAGUUCGGUUUAUAACAGGCUUUACUCUAACAGAGUAUUCCAUUAGAUAAAUUUAAGCUCAGUCAAAUAUGCAAGUAAAUUUAAUUAAAAUAUAAAAAUCUUACUUUACUUAAACAAUUUACCAAAAGUUGCUUAUUCGUUAAAUUUUAUGUAAUCUUUUUACCUGACAUUAGUCUAUUUGUUUUUCCAUCGUCUGGUUAUGAUAGACUGAUGUCUUUUGUCGAAUAACACCCUUUUUAUAACUCUCUAUAUAAUAAUAGAUACAGUACACUAUUAUUAUUCAAAUCAAACAAACAACAAACUUAAUUAAUAGGCAGAAAUAAUUUUAGAGUUUGACAAGACACACAGACAUUCGAACACCGAACAGACUAAAAUACAAACCUUGCUAGCGAUGAAAAAUCAUUGUAAAGUCACAAGUCAUAUUUAAGUGUACUGAAAUUUGAAAUCAGCUACGUUAGCCAUACGACAUUAUUUUUUACAGCCUAGUAACAAAUAUAUAUUCUGAAUUAGUUAGUCCAUUGUCAAGCACUAAUCGGGUUCUGUUACAUUUCCGUUAUAGAAUAACUUCUUUGAAAUAUUGUAUGUUGAUAUUCCACAACACAUUCUUUUCUUGGUAUUACGCUAUUAGGAACUAGUAAUUAAAUUUUAUCUUACAAUACGUCAUACCCAAUUUGUAAAUGUUCGGAUGUUUUCUUACCCCUGAACUAGACUGAUCCUGUUGAAUUUCUAACACGUUUUUGCUAAAUAAAGACUGUAAUCCUUAUAAACAACUAUGACACUUAAAAUUGAAAAUCACAAAGAACAAAAUUUAAAACCAAAAAAUCAAUACGAAUCCCUAACAAAAAUAAUUAAAAAACAAUUGUUUGACAGUCCGAUUACCCACUUCCAAUUUUAACUCAUAAAAAGUGAACUACAGUGGUAUUGGUAGUUAAUGCUCGUUAUCAAUAUAUUUUUAAAGCAAAACUAAAAUCCACUGCAAUGCUUACACGUCAAUGUGCUUUCAUACAUCAUCCAAACCCUUAUAUUGGUAAGUUAGGACUUUGGUUUAAAAACUGUUACAAGUUUUUGGAACUUCAAAUCGGCAAUCAAAAUAUAACAUUUAAUACAUACAUGCUCACUUCGCUAACUUCAGGUUUACGGUUCUUUCUAAAUUAUGCCAUAUUUGUAGACGAAACGCGCAUCUGGCGCAAAUAUAAAUUUCAAUCCUGUAUCGAUAAUGAGUUUAUUUCUAAAUAACUUGGAAUAUAAAUUCAUAUAGACGAGUUUUCAUUUCAGAAUUAUGAUGAAGAAUUGUUGUUUGAUUGUUUUCAUCUUUUGCACAAUUGAUGUGUCAAAUGGCGGCAGUAAGUAUCCUGUAUCUUUAAAACGCUGUAGUGAAGAUUAAAGAUUAGGCUGCCUGACUCUCUCAUAAUAUAAAAAGUACGAUCCUUUCACUCUGAUCAAACGUUCUGCAUUCGGUAGCCAAAAUGAGACAGACAGAGUUAAAACCUUUUUAUGUCACAGAUAUUCAAUCAUGUUAACAAAAUUAUCUACAAUUUGUUUUUAUAGUUAUUUGGGGAUACACACCUUCAGUUUACAACGAUAAUAUCAGUACUUUCGUCGAGCUACAGAGCUGUACAAAACUGUUCAACACUACUUUCCUAGGUUAACCUAAGAACAAUAACAAAAAAACUGUUUUUAAGAAGAACAAGUUUUAAAUCUUCUAAGCAGAGUUACGAGCAUCUCGAGCAAAUUCCGAAAAUUUUAUUCAUGAGAAAUCAUACUGCAACAACAAUAUAUAUAUAUAGACCUUUUCUUAAAAUUAACAAAAUUCUUCAUUGUGUCCUAUAUUCAACAUGGUUAAGCAAAUCAAUUUGAGAAAUAAACUAUGACUUUAUAUUUAUAUCCUGAUUGUGUAAUGUUAAUGUAUAUAUAUCAAAGUAAAUCAUGCUAUAUUGUAUCGGAGUACUGUACUAUUCAGUUCUUUCUGGGAUAUGCCUCGCCUCCAAUGGUACCUGUGGAAAGAAAGGUGUUCCAUGUAAUGAGACAUUCGGGUCUGAAUGGACGUACAACGGAAAAUGCUGCAAUGGCAAACCAUGUUGCAAACGUAAGUAGACAAAUAAAGCAGGCAGUAGUGUUUGUCACUGUUGAUCAAAUCGAAUGAAUGCAAAGGAAUUUCAUAGACAUAGAUAGUUAUAUUUGGACAAAAAAAAAG
RNAcentral lists this long non-coding RNA (2457 nucleotides) under Mytilus galloprovincialis (Mediterranean mussel). Lineage: Eukaryota; Metazoa; Mollusca; Bivalvia; Mytilida; Mytilidae. The record is from RNAcentral.